ACUGCCCUACGGGGCGCAGCAGUGAGGAAUAUUGGUCAAUGGGCGCAAGCCUGAACAAGCCACGUCGCGUGAGGGAUGACGGUCCUAUGGAUUGUAAACCUCUUUUGUCGGGGAGCAAGGCCCGCCACGUGUGGCGGGAAGGAGAGUACCCGAAGAAAAAGCAUCGGCUAACUCCGUGCCAGCGGCCGCGGUAAUACGGAGGAUGCGAGCGUUAUCCGGAUUUAUUGGGUUUAAAGGGUGCGUAGGCGGAUGGGUAAGUCAGCGGUCA
This 268-nucleotide ribosomal RNA is filed under the name uncultured bacterium. RNAcentral describes it as "partial 16S ribosomal RNA". It matches the Rfam family "Bacterial small subunit ribosomal RNA", at positions 333 to 597 of the family's 1533-position model. The record is from RNAcentral.